Molecule: ribosomal RNA, 566 nt
Filed under: Hypselosoma sp. Madagascar_1942
Lineage: Eukaryota; Metazoa; Arthropoda; Insecta; Hemiptera; Schizopteridae
Description: SSU rRNA
Rfam family: Eukaryotic small subunit ribosomal RNA
Source: RNAcentral
CAGCCGCGGUAAUUCCAGCUCCAAUAGCGUAUAUUAAAGCUGUUGCGGUUAAAAAGCUCGUAAUUGGUUCUGUGUGACAUGCUGUUGGUUCACCGCCUGUCGGUGUAACUGACAUGUCGUGGGACGUCCUGUUGGUGGUAGUUAAACUGGCCAACUUUACAGUUGCUUGUCUCUGUAUAUUGUUGGUGAUGUUUAAUUGCCGAUUAAACCUGCCGCGGUGCUCUUUACUGAGUGUCGAGGGAGGCCGACAUGUUUACUUUGAACAAAUUAGAGUGAUUAAAGCAGGCAAAUAUUUGCCUGAAUAGUGGUGCAUGGAAUAAUGGAAUAAGACUUUGGUUCUAAUUUGUUGGUUUUUCGGAAUCCAAGGUAAUGAUCAAUAUGGACGGUCGGGGGCAUUCGUAUUGCGACGUUAGAGGUGAAAUUCUUGGAUCGUCGCAAGACGAACUAGAGCGAAAGCAUUUGCCAAGUAUGUCUUAAUUGAUCAAGAACGAAAGUUAGAGGUUCGAAGGCGAUCAGAUACCGCCCUAGUUCUAACCAUAAACGAUGUCAGCCAGCAAUCCGCCGAG